This 71-nucleotide transfer RNA is filed under the name Compsopogon caeruleus. Its description in RNAcentral is "tRNA-Gly". It matches the Rfam family "tRNA". From Rfam's summary of the family: Transfer RNA (tRNA) molecules are approximately 80 nucleotides in length. Lineage: Eukaryota; Rhodophyta; Compsopogonophyceae; Compsopogonales; Compsopogonaceae. The record is from RNAcentral.
GCGAAAAUAGCUUAAUGGUAAAGUGUAACCAUGCCACGGUUAAUAUAGGAGUUCAAUUCUCCUUUUUCGCU